AACGAACGCUGGCGGCGUGGAUUAGGCAUGCAAGUCGUACGCGAAAGAGGGGGCAACCCCUUGUAGUAGAGUGGCGAACGGGUGAGUAACGCGUGAGGAACCUGCCUUCGACAGGGGGAUAACACUCCCAACGGGGUGCUAAUACCGCAUGAGACCACGGGGCUGCAUGGCCCUGAGGUCAAAGAUGGCCUCUAUUUAUAAGCUAUCGGUCGAAGAUGGCCUCGCGUCCCAUUAGCUAGUUGGCGGUGUAAAAGACCACCAAGGCGACGAU
This 271-nucleotide ribosomal RNA is filed under the name uncultured bacterium. RNAcentral describes it as "partial 16S ribosomal RNA". It matches the Rfam family "Bacterial small subunit ribosomal RNA", at positions 29 to 280 of the family's 1533-position model. The record is from RNAcentral.